UACGGAGGGUGCAAGCGUUAUCCGGAUUCACUGGGUUUAAAGGGUGCGUAGGUGGGCAGGUAAGUCAGUGGUGAAAUCCCCGGGCUUAACUUGGGAACUGCCGUUGAUACUAUCUGUCUUGAAUACCGUGGAGGUGAGCGGAAUAUGUCAUGUAGCGGUGAAAUGCUUAGAUAUGACAUAGAACACCCAUUGCGAAGGCAGCUCACUACACGGUAAUUGACACUGAGGCACGAAAGCGUGGGGAGCAAACAGG
RNAcentral lists this ribosomal RNA (253 nucleotides) under uncultured bacterium. RNAcentral describes it as "partial 16S ribosomal RNA". It matches the Rfam family "Bacterial small subunit ribosomal RNA", at positions 524 to 776 of the family's 1533-position model. The record is from RNAcentral.